RNAcentral lists this unclassified non-coding RNA (376 nucleotides) under uncultured fungus. RNAcentral describes it as "partial contains 5.8S ribosomal RNA and internal transcribed spacer 2". The stretch from base 1 to 133 matches the Rfam family "5.8S ribosomal RNA", at positions 22 to 154 of the family's 154-position model. The record is from RNAcentral. Lineage: Eukaryota; Fungi.
UGGCUCUCGCAUCGAUGAAGAACGCAGCGAAAUGCGAUAAGUAAUGUGAAUUGCAGAAUUCAGUGAAUCAUCGAAUCUUUGAACGCACCUUGCGCUCCUUGGUAUUCCGAGGAGCAUGCCUGUUUGAGUGUCAUGAAAUCAUCACAACGGACUCCUCUUUGUUGAGCGUAGGCCGAAGUGGACUUGGGGGUUACUGCCGCUGCGUUGUAUUCGCUCUGGCUCCCCUUCAAAUGCAUUAGCUGGCUAAGGGCAAAGUUGGCUCGACUGGUGUGAUAUGUAUGUCUACGCCUCUGCCGACGUGCUUGGAGCUGCUUCCAAUCGUCUUCGGACAACAUUCUUGUGCUCUGGCCUCAAAUCAGGUAGGACUACCCGCUGA